RNAcentral lists this ribosomal RNA (497 nucleotides) under uncultured bacterium. Its description in RNAcentral is "partial 16S ribosomal RNA". It matches the Rfam family "Bacterial small subunit ribosomal RNA", at positions 28 to 507 of the family's 1533-position model. The record is from RNAcentral.
GAUGAACGCUGGCGGCGUGCCUAAUACAUGCAAGUCGAGCGAACAGACGAGGAGCUUGCUCCUCUGACGUUAGAGGCGGACGGGUGAGUAACACGUGGAUAACCUACCUAUAAGACUGGGAUAACUUCGGGAAACCGGAGCUAAUACCGGAUAAUAUAUUGAACCGCAUGGUUCAAUAGUGAAAGACGGUUUUGCUGUCACUUAUAGAUGGAUCCGCGCCGCAUUAGCUAGUUGGUAAGGUAACGGCUUACCAAGGCAACGAUGCGUAGCCGACCUGAGAGGGUGAUCGGCCACACUGGAACUGAGACACGGUCCAGACUCCUACGGGAGGCAGCAGUAGGGAAUCUUCCGCAAAGGGCGAAAGCCUGACGGAGCAACGCCGCGUGAGUGAUGAAGGUCUUCGGAUCGUAAAACUCUGUUAUUAGGGAAGAACAAAUGUGUAAGUAACUAUGCACGUCUUGACGGUACCUAAUCAGAAAGCCACGGCUAACUACGUG